RNAcentral lists this ribosomal RNA (450 nucleotides) under uncultured Glomeromycotina. Its description in RNAcentral is "SSU rRNA". It matches the Rfam family "Eukaryotic small subunit ribosomal RNA", at positions 569 to 1024 of the family's 1831-position model. The record is from RNAcentral. Lineage: Eukaryota; Fungi; Glomeromycota.
CGCAGCCGCGGUAAUUCCAGCUCCAAUAGCGUAUAUUAAAGUUGUUGCAGUUAAAAAGCUCGUAGUUGAAUUUCGGGAUCAAAUUGUCGGUCGUGCCUCGGUACGCACUGGUAUUAUUGGUUCCUACCUUCUGAAGAACCGCGAUGUCAUUAAUUUGGUGUCGUGGGGAAUCAGGACUGUUACUUUGAAAAAAUUAGAGUGUUUAAAGCAGGCUUACGCUUGAAUACAUUAGCAUGGAAUAAUGAAAUAGGACGUUUGAUUCUAUUUUGUUGGUUUCUAGGAUUGACGUAAUGAUUAAUAGGGAUAGUUGGGGGCAUUAGUAUUCAAUUGUCAGAGGUGAAAUUCUUGGAUUUAUUGAAGACUAACUACUGCGAAAGCAUUUGCCAAGGAUGUUUUCGUUAAUCAAGAACGAAAGUUAGGGGAUCGAAGACGAUCAGAUACCGUCGUAGU